AUGAGGGACUCUUAUGCACCACCA
This 24-nucleotide non-coding RNA is filed under the name Arabidopsis thaliana (thale cress). Lineage: Eukaryota; Viridiplantae; Streptophyta; Magnoliopsida; Brassicales; Brassicaceae. The record is from RNAcentral.